RNAcentral lists this ribosomal RNA (700 nucleotides) under uncultured bacterium. Its description in RNAcentral is "bacterial SSU rRNA". It matches the Rfam family "Bacterial small subunit ribosomal RNA", at positions 59 to 780 of the family's 1533-position model. The record is from RNAcentral.
CAGUCGAACGAGUUUCCGGGCUUGCUCGGAAACUAGUGGCGAACGGCUGAGUAACGCGUAGGUGACCUACCCCGUAGUGUGGAAUAACUGCCCGAAAGGGUAGCUAAUACCGCAUGUUGAGCCGACAUCAAUGUCGUCUCCAAAGCAGAAAUGCGCUAUGGGCGGGGCCUGCGUUCGAUUAGCUAGUUGGUGGGGUAAUGGCUCACCAAGGCGACGAUCGAUAGGUGGUCUGAGAGGACGAUCACCCAGACUGGGACUGAGACACGGCCCAGACUCCUACGGGAGGCAGCAGUCGGGAAUUUUGCGCAAUGGGGGAAACCCUGACGCAGCAAUACCGCGUGUGGGAUGAAGGCCUUCGGGUCGUAAACCACUUUUUUCGGGGACGAUAAUGACGGUACCCGAAGAAUAAGCCACGGCUAACUACGUGCCAGCAGCCGCGGUAAUACGUAGGUGGCAAGCGUUGUCCGGAUUUACUGGGCGUAAAGCGCGCGCAGGCGGUGAAUGAAGUCGAAAGUGAAAGCCCCGAGCUCAACUCGGGAACUGCUUUCGAAACCAGUUCACUUGAAGGUGGAAGAGGGAAGUGGAAUUCCGAGUGUAGCGGUGGAAUGCAUAGAUAUUCGGAGGAACACCAGAGGCGAAGGCGACUUCCUGGUCCAAUCUUGACGCUGAGGCGCGAAAGCUAGGGGAGCAAACAGGAUUA